This 500-nucleotide ribosomal RNA is filed under the name uncultured bacterium. RNAcentral's name for it is "bacterial SSU rRNA". It matches the Rfam family "Bacterial small subunit ribosomal RNA", at positions 29 to 524 of the family's 1533-position model. The record is from RNAcentral.
AUUGAACGCUGGCGGCAUGCCUUACACAUGCAAGUCGAACGGUAACGCGGGGCAACCUGGCGACGAGUGGCGAACGGGUGAGUAAUAUAUCGGAACGUGCCCAGUAGUGGGGGAUAGCCCGGCGAAAGCCGGAUUAAUACCGCAUACGACCUAUGGGUGGAAGCGGGGGAUCGCAAGACCUCGCGCUAUUGGAGCGGCCGAUAUCAGAUUAGCUAGUUGGUGGGGUAAAGGCCUACCAAGGCGACGAUCUGUAGCUGGUCUGAGAGGACGACCAGCCACACUGGGACUGAGACACGGCCCAGACUCCUACGGGAGGCAGCAGUGGGGAAUUUUGGACAAUGGGCGCAAGCCUGAUCCAGCCAUGCCGCGUGUGGGAAGAAGGCCUUCGGGUUGUAAACCACUUUUGUCAGGGAAGAACGGUCUGGGUCUAAUAAACCGGACUAAUGACGGUACCUGAAGAAUAAGCACCGGCUAACUACGUGCCAGCAGCCGCGGGUAAU